GUUUCUUUUUUGGGUUCAUCUUCUCGGAUCUUCUUCUUCGUCUUCUAAUACUUCCUCGGACUUCGGCGUUGUCGGCACGAUUUGCGAGAAGCUCGCGUGGCGCUACAGAAAGAGAAGAAGAGACAGAGAUCCCAAAUUCCAUUCUCUCGCUCUCCCUCGUAGUAGUAGAUCCCUCUUCCUCCUUCCUCUUCUUCUCCUUUCCCUUCAUCGCUGAGUCUGUAGACUCAUUCCAUUCCCCAUUCUCGCGCUUCCCGCAACUUGGGUCUCUCUCUCUCGCGGUCUCUCAUUUGUCUCGCAUUGUGGCAUUUUAAGGGAGGGGAGAGAGUCUGCAGGGAGGGGGGCCUUGGUCAGGGAUUACGACGAGGAGGAGGACGAGGAGGGAGGGAGGGAGAGAGGUAUUGAAGUAGUACUACUAGUGCAGCAGCAGGGGCGUGGUGGUGCCGAUCUCGCUGGGAGAUUCGUGUUCCCUGUUGUUGUUGUUGUUGUUGUUGUUCGUGGAUUUGUGUGUCAGGAUUACAUUUUAGUCCAGGCACUUAAGGUAAGCAGGAUGUCGAAAAGCAGCAAAGGUCUAGAUUGGGCGGAUCAGUGGGAUCCAAUUCAGGAUGAUGCCCCUGCUACCAAAAAUCAGGAUGCUUCCAAGUCCUCUAGCAAGGAGAAGAUGGCGAAGGCAAAGGCAGCUGCAAGUGUUGGAAUGAGAAAAACUAAAGCUGCUGCGAUAGUUGGAAUGCAGAAGACGAAAGUUGUUGCUACCAUCGGUGCUCAGAAGCUGAAAGCCGGCACGACUGCCGGAAUGAAAUGGAUUAAGGAGAAAACUCGAAAGAAGUCAUCGCAGUGACCAAAGAGUAAUCAAAAUUCGGGGCCUCGUCUUCAACCCCUGCUUCCCUCUACAAUUUUUUGUCCGAAUGUUUCUGCUACCUCCUGAAGACGCCCGGGAGGCUUGCCCAUGAUCGGGGAUUACACACAAGUCUUCAUUCUUAGGAGGUAGGCUUCACAGUCAAGAUAUUGGUUGUACAGAAAUCGGCAGCAUAGGCGCAAUAAAGUUCCCAGUCGGCACCUUCUGAAUGCAAAAAGUACACAUGAUUGUCUCCCUAUCUUUCGCAUACUCUGCGAUCCUAUUAGAUCAAUCUCAGCAGCUUAUGCACAUCAAGCGUUGUUUAGAUUUCAUUGAUUCUUUAAGAACUAAGUUUUUACAGGGAUGCUAGCACUCCCGAACUCAAUUAAAUCCUCCUCUUCCACGUAGGAAGUCCAGAUUUGGAUGGUAAUGAAAAAGAUUUUUGUUUCUUCUAAUUCCUGUA
Molecule: long non-coding RNA, 1295 nt
Organism: Physcomitrium patens
Lineage: Eukaryota; Viridiplantae; Streptophyta; Bryopsida; Funariales; Funariaceae
Source: RefSeq, a predicted model, not a curated record